AGUGAACGCUGGCGGUAGGCCUAACACAUGCAAGUCGAACGGCAGCACAGUAAGAGCUUGCUCUUACGGGUGGCGAGUGGCGGACGGGUGAGGAAUACAUCGGAAUCUACUUUUUCGUGGGGGAUAACGUAGGGAAACUUACGCUAAUACCGCAUACGACCUACGGGUGAAAGCAGGGGAUCUUCGGACCUUGCGCGAUUGAAUGAGCCGAUGUCGGAUUAGCUAGUUGGCGGGGUAAAGGCCCACCAAGGCGACGAUCCGUAGCUGGUCUGAGAGGAUGAGCGGCAACACGGGAACAGAAACAGGGCCCAGACUCCGAGGGGAGGAGGCAGGGGGGAAUAGGGAAAAAUGGGCGAAAGCCUGAUCAGGCCAUGCCGCGUGGGUGAAGAAGGCUUUGGGGUUGAAAACCCUUUUUGUUGGGAAAAAAAAGCAGCGGGUUAAUACCCCGUGUUCAUGAGGGAACCCAAAGAAUAAGCACGGGGUAACUUCGUG
This 492-nucleotide ribosomal RNA is filed under the name uncultured bacterium. RNAcentral's name for it is "partial 16S ribosomal RNA". It matches the Rfam family "Bacterial small subunit ribosomal RNA", at positions 30 to 507 of the family's 1533-position model. The record is from RNAcentral.